GAUGAACGCUGGCGGCGUGCCUAAUACAUGCAAGUCGAGCGAACAGACGAGGAGCUUGCUCCUCUGAUGUUAGCGGCGGACGGGUGAGUAACACGUGGAUAACCUACCUAUAAGACUGGGAUAACUUCGGGAAACCGGAGCUAAUACCGGAUAACAUGUUUAACCGCAUGGUUCAACAGUGAAAGACGGUCUUGCUGUCACUUAUAGAUGGAUCCGCGCCGCAUUAGCUAGUUGGUAAGGUAACGGCUUACCAAGGCAACGAUGCGUAGCCGACCUGAGAGGGGGACCGGCCACACUGGAACUGAACCACGGUCCAGCUCCUGACGGGAGGCAGCAGUAGGGAAUCUCGGGCAAGGGGCGAAAGCCUGACGGAGCAACGCCGCGUGAGUGAAGAAGGUCUUCGGAUCUUAAAACCCUGUUAUUAGGGAAGAACAAAUGUGUAAGUAACUAUGCACGUCUUGACGGUACCUAAUCAGAAAGCCACGGCUAACUACGUG
Molecule: ribosomal RNA, 497 nt
Filed under: uncultured bacterium
Lineage: Bacteria
Description: partial 16S ribosomal RNA
Rfam family: Bacterial small subunit ribosomal RNA
Source: RNAcentral